GAGUUUGAUCCUGGCUCAGGACGAACGCUUGCGGCGUGCCUAAGAAAUGCAAGUCGAACGGGCAGUCUUCGGACUGCCAGUGGCGAACGGUCGCGUAACACGUAGGCAACCUGCCCUAAAGUGGGGGAUAACAACCCGAAAGGGUUGCUAAUACCGCAUGUGGCCAGUCUCUCGCAUGGGGGACUGUCUGAAGGGUCCGAGUGAUUUCGGACUCGCUUUAGGAUGGGCUUGCGGCCUAUCAGCUAGUUGGUGGGGUAACGGCCUACCAAGGCUUUGACGGGUAGCUGGUCUGAGAGGAUGGUCAGCCGGAUUGGGACUGAGAUACGGCCCAGACUCCUACGGGGGGCAGCAAUUAGGAAUCUUGCGCAAUGGGGGCAACCCUGACGCAGCGACGCCGCGUGAAGGAUGACGGUCUUCGGAUCGUAAACUUCUUUUGUCGGGGAAGAAAACUGACGAUACCCGACGAAUAAGCCCCGGCUAACUACGUGCCAGCAGCCGCGGUAAUACGUAGGGGGCGAGCGUUGUCCGAAGUUACUGGGCGUAAAGCGCGCGUAGGCGGUCCCUUAAGUCUGGUGUGAAAGGUUCAGGGCUCAACCCGAAGAGUGCACUGGAGACUGGGGGACUUGAGUUGGGGAGAGGAGAGUGGAAUUCCUGGUGUAGCGGUGAAAUGCGUAGAUAUCAGGAGGAACACCGAUGGCGAAGGCAGCUCUCUGGCCCCAAACUGACGCUGAGGUGCGAAAGCGUGGGGAGCGAACGGGAUUAGAUACCCCGGUAGUCCACGCCGUAAACGAUGAGUGCUAGGUGUCAGGGGUAUCGACCCCCCUGGUGCCGCAGCUAACGCAUUAAGCACUCCGCCUGGGGAGUACGGCCGCAAGGUUGAAACUCAAAGGAAUUGACGGGGGCCCGCACAAGCGGUGGAGCAUGUGGUUUAAUUCGUCACUAACCGAAGAACCUUACCCAGGCUUGACAUCGCGUGUAAGGCUGUGAAAGCAGCCCCUCCCUUCGGGGACACAAAGACAGGUGUUGCAUGGCUGUCGUCAGCUCGUGGCCUGAAAAUGUUGGGUUAAGUCCCGCAA
This 1076-nucleotide ribosomal RNA is filed under the name uncultured bacterium. RNAcentral's name for it is "bacterial SSU rRNA". It matches the Rfam family "Bacterial small subunit ribosomal RNA", at positions 9 to 1092 of the family's 1533-position model. The record is from RNAcentral.